UUGAACGCUGGCGGCAUGCCUUACACAUGCAAGUCGAACGGCAGCACGGGGGCAACCCUGGUGGCGAGUGGCGAACGGGUGAGUAAUACAUCGGAACGUGCCCUGAAGUGGGGGAUAACGUAGCGAAAGUUACGCUAAUACCGCAUAUUCUGUGAGCAGGAAAGCAGGGGAUCGCAAGACCUUGCGCUUUAGGAGCGGCCGAUGUCGGAUUAGCUAGUUGGUGAGGUAAAGGCUCACCAAGGCGACGAUCCGUAGCGGGUCUGAGAGGAUGAUCCGCCACACUGGGACUGAGACACGGCCCAGACUCCUACGGGAGGCAGCAGUGGGGAAUUUUGGACAAUGGGCGCAAGCCUGAUCCAGCCAUGCCGCGUGAGUGAAGAAGGCCUUCGGGUUGUAAACUGCUUUUGUACGGAACGAAAAGGUCUGGGUUAAUACCCUGGGCUCAUGACGGUACCGUAAGAAUAAGCACCGGCUAACUACGU
RNAcentral lists this ribosomal RNA (482 nucleotides) under uncultured bacterium. RNAcentral describes it as "bacterial SSU rRNA". It matches the Rfam family "Bacterial small subunit ribosomal RNA", at positions 30 to 506 of the family's 1533-position model. The record is from RNAcentral.